RNAcentral lists this ribosomal RNA (192 nucleotides) under uncultured bacterium. Its description in RNAcentral is "partial 16S ribosomal RNA". It matches the Rfam family "Bacterial small subunit ribosomal RNA", at positions 335 to 524 of the family's 1533-position model. The record is from RNAcentral.
ACUCCUACGGGAGGCAGCAGUGAGGAAUAUUGGUCAAUGGACGGAAGUCUGAACCAGCCAUGCCGCGUGAAGGAUGAAGGCGUUCUGCGUUGUAAACUUCUUUUAUUAGGGAAGAAACCACAGAUUUCUAUUUGUGUUGACGGUACCUUAUGAAUAAGCACCGGCUAACUCCGUGCCAGCAGCCGCGGUAAU